UGGGGAAUAUUGCACAAUGGGCGCAAGCCUGAUGCAGCCAUGCCGCGUGUAUGAAGAAGGCCUUCGGGUUGUAAAGUACUUUCAGCGGGGAGGAAGGGAGUAAAGUUAAUACCUUUGCUCAUUGACGUUACCCGCAGAAGAAGCACCGGCUAACUCCGUGCCAGCAGCCGCGGUAAUACGGAGGGUGCAAGCGUUAAUCGGAAUUACUGGGCGUAAAGCGCACGCAGGCGGUUUGUUAAGUCAGAUGUGAAAUCCCCGGGCUCAACCUGGGAACUGCAUCUGAGACUGGCAAGUCUGAGUCUCGUAGAGGGGGGUAGAAUUCCAGGUGUAGCGGUGAAAUGCGUAGAGAUCUGGAGGAAUACCGGUGGCGAAGGCGGCCCCCUGGGCGAAGACUGACGCUCAGGUGCGAAAGCGUGGGGAGCAAACAGG
This 429-nucleotide ribosomal RNA is filed under the name Chloroflexota bacterium. RNAcentral describes it as "Chloroflexi bacterium partial 16S ribosomal RNA". It matches the Rfam family "Bacterial small subunit ribosomal RNA", at positions 355 to 776 of the family's 1533-position model. Lineage: Bacteria; Bacillati; Chloroflexota. The record is from RNAcentral.